CACGGGGGUUGCGAGCGUUGUCCGGAAUUACUAGGCGUAAAGGGCAGGCAGGCGGAUCCAUAAGUUUAUCGUUUAAGGCGUCGGCUUAACCGGCGUAGGGCGGUAGAUACUGUGGAUCUGGAAUGCGGUUGGGGAAGACAGAAUUCCUGGUGUAGCGGUGGAAUGCGCAGAGAUCAGGAGGAAUACCGAAGGCGAAGGCAGUCUUCCAAGCCGUUAUUGACGCUCAACUACGAAGGUGUGGGUAUCAAACAGGAUUAGAUACCCGCGUAGUCCCUGAGCGGG
This 282-nucleotide ribosomal RNA is filed under the name uncultured prokaryote. RNAcentral's name for it is "partial 16S ribosomal RNA". It matches the Rfam family "Bacterial small subunit ribosomal RNA", at positions 524 to 803 of the family's 1533-position model. The record is from RNAcentral.